GUGACUGCGUACCUUUUGUAUAAUGGGUCAGCGACUUAUAUUCUGUAGCAAGGUUAACCGAAUAGGGGAGCCGAAGGGAAACCGAGUCUUAACUGGGCGUUAAGUUGCAGGGUAUAGACCCGAAACCCGGUGAUCUAGCCAUGGGCAGGUUGAAGGUUGGGUAACACUAACUGGAGGACCGAACCGACUAAUGUUGAAAAAUUAGCGGAUGACUUGUGGCUGGGGGUGAAAGGCCAAUCAAACCGGGAGAUAGCUGGUUCUCCCCGAAAGCUAUUUAGGUAGCGCCUCGUGAACUCAUCUCCGGGGGUAGAGCACUGUUUCGGCAAGGGGGUCAUCCCGACUUACCAACCCGAUGCAAACUGCGAAUACCGGAGAAUGUUAUCACGGGAGACACACGGCGGGUGCUAACGUCCGUCGUGAAGAGGGAAACAACCCAGACCGCCAGCUAAGGUCCCAAAGUCAUGGUUAAGUGGGAAACGAUGUGGGAAGGCCCAGACAGCCAGGAUGUUGGCUUAGAAGCAGCCAUCAUUUAAAGAAAGCGUAAUAGCUCACUGGUCGAGUCGGCCUGCGCGGAAGAUGUAACGGGGCUAAACCAUGCACCGAAGCUGCGGCAGCGACGCUUAUGCGUUGUUGGGUAGGGGAGCGUUCUGUAAGCCUGCGAAGGUGUGCUGUGAGGCAUGCUGGAGGUAUCAGAAGUGCGAAUGCUGACAUAAGUAACGAUAAAGCGGGUGAAAAGCCCGCUCGCCGGAAGACCAAGGGUUCCUGUCCAACGUUAAUCGGGGCAGGGUGAGUCGACCCCUAAGGCGAGGCCGAAAGGCGUAGUCGAUGGGAAACAGGUUAAUAUUCCUGUACUUGGUGUUACUGCGAAGGGGGGACGGAGAAGGCUAUGUUGGCCGGGCGACGGUUGUCCCGGUUUAAGCGUGUAGGCUGGUUUUCCAGGCAAAUCCGGAAAAUCAAGGCUGAGGCGUGAUGACGAGGCACUACGGUGCUGAAGCAACAAAUGCCCUGCUUCCAGGAAAAGCCUCUAAGCAUCAGGUAACAUCAAAUCGUACCCCAAACCGACACAGGUGGUCAGGUAGAGAAUACCAAGGCGCUUGAGAGAACUCGGGUGAAGGAACUAGGCAAAAUGGUGCCGUAACUUCGGGAGAAGGCACGCUGAUAUGUAGGUGAAGCGACUUGCUCGUGGAGCUGAAAUCAGUCGAAGAUACCAGCUGGCUGCAACUGUUUAUUAAAAACACAGCACUGUGCAAACACGAAAGUGGACGUAUACGGUGUGACGCCUGCCCGGUGCCGGAAGGUUAAUUGAUGGGGUCAGCGCAAGCGAAGCUCUUGAUCGAAGCCCCGGUAAACGGCGGCCGUAACUAUAACGGUCCUAAGGUAGCGAAAUUCCUUGUCGGGUAAGUUCCGACCUGCACGAAUGGCGUAAUGAUGGCCAGGCUGUCUCCACCCGAGACUCAGUGAAAUUGAACUCGCUGUGAAGAUGCAGUGUACCCGCGGCAAGACGGAAAGACCCCGUGAACCUUUACUAUAGCUUGACACUGAACAUUGAGCCUUGAUGUGUAGGAUAGGUGGGAGGCUUUGAAGUGUGGACGCCAGUCUGCAUGGAGCCGACCUUGAAAUACCACCCUUUAAUGUUUGAUGUUCUAACGUUGACCCGUAAUCCGGGUUGCGGACAGUGUCUGGUGGGUAGUUUGACUGGGGCGGUCUCCUCCUAAAGAGUAACGGAGGAGCACGAAGGUUGGCUAAUCCUGGUCGGACAUCAGGAGGUUAGUGCAAUGGCAUAAGCCAGCUUGACUGCGAGCGUGACGGCGCGAGCAGGUGCGAAAGCAGGUCAUAGUGAUCCGGUGGUUCUGAAUGGAAGGGCCAUCGCUCAACGGAUAAAAGGUACUCCGGGGAUAACAGGCUGAUACCGCCCAAGAGUUCAUAUCGACGGCGGUGUUUGGCACCUCGAUGUCGGCUCAUCACAUCCUGGGGCUGAAGUAGGUCCCAAGGGUAUGGCUGUUCGCCAUUUAAAGUGGUACGCGAGCUGGGUUUAGAACGUCGUGAGACAGUUCGGUCCCUAUCUGCCGUGGGCGCUGGAGAACUGAGGGGGGCUGCUCCUAGUACGAGAGGACCGGAGUGGACGCAUCACUGGUGUUCGGGUUGUCAUGCCAAUGGCACUGCCCGGUAGCUAAAUGCGGAAGAGAUAAGUGCUGAAAGCAUCUAAGCACGAAACUUGCCCCGAGAUGAGUUCUCCCUGACUCCUUGAGAGUCCUGAAGGAACGUUGAAGACGACGACGUUGAUAGGCCGGGUGUGUAAGCGCAGCGAUGCGUUGAGCUAACCGGUACUAAUGAACCGUGAGGCUUAACCUUACAACGCCGAAG
This 2364-nucleotide ribosomal RNA is filed under the name Escherichia coli. RNAcentral's name for it is "bacterial LSU rRNA". It matches the Rfam family "Bacterial large subunit ribosomal RNA", at positions 593 to 2925 of the family's 2925-position model. Lineage: Bacteria; Pseudomonadati; Pseudomonadota; Gammaproteobacteria; Enterobacterales; Enterobacteriaceae. The record is from RNAcentral.